AGCGGCGGAUGGGUGAGUAACACGUGGGGAACCUGCCCCUAAGUCUGGGAUACCAUUUGGAAACAGGUGCUAAUACCGGAUAAUAAAGCAGAUCGCAUGAUCAGCUUUUGAAAGGCGGCGUAAGCUGUCGCUAAGGGAUGGCCCCGCGGUGCAUUAGCUAGUUGGUAAGGUAACGGCUUACCAAGGCGACGAUGCAUAGCCGAGUUGAGAGACUGAUCGGCCACAUUGGGACUGAGACACGGCCCAAACUCCUACGGGAGGCAGCAGUAGGGAAUCUUCCACAAUGGACGCAAGUCUGAUGGAGCAACGCCGCGUGAGUGAAGAAGGUUUUCGGAUCGUAAAGCUCUGUUGUUGGUGAAAAAGGAUAGAGGUAGUAACUGGCCUUUAUUUGACGGUAAUCAACCAGAAAGUCACGGCUAACUACGCGCCAGCAGCCGCGGUAAUACGUAGGUGGCAAGCGUUGUCCGGAUUUAUUGGGCGUAAAGCGAGCGCAGGCGGAAAAAUAAGUCUAAUGUGAAAGCCCUCGGCUUAACCGAGGAACUGCAUCGGAAACUGUUUUUCUUGAGUGCAGAAGAGGAGAGUGGAACUCCAUGUGUAGCGGUGGAAUGCGUAGAUAUAUGGAAGAACACCAGUGGCGAAGGCGGCUCUCUGGUCUGCAACUGACGCUGAGGCUCGAAAGCAUGGGUAGCGAACAGGAUUAGAUACUCUGGUAGUCCAUGCCGUAAACGAUGAGUGCUAAGUGU
RNAcentral lists this ribosomal RNA (743 nucleotides) under uncultured bacterium. RNAcentral's name for it is "bacterial SSU rRNA". It matches the Rfam family "Bacterial small subunit ribosomal RNA", at positions 94 to 823 of the family's 1533-position model. The record is from RNAcentral.